GGGUUGUGAGGUUAAGCGACUAAGCGUACACGGUGGAUGCCCUGGCAGUCAGAGGCGAUGAAGGACGUGCUAAUCUGCGAUAAGCGUCGGUAAGGUGAUAUGAACCGUUAUAACCGGCGAUUUCCGAAUGGGGAAACCCAGUGUGAUUCGUCACACUAUCAUUAACUGAAUCCAUAGGUUAAUGAGGCGAACCGGGGGAACUGAAACAUCUAAGUACCCCGAGGAAAAGAAAUCAACCGAGAUUCCCCCAGUAGCGGCGAGCGAACGGGGAGCAGCCCAGAGCCUGAAUCAGUGUGUGUGUUAGUGGAAGCGUCUGGAAAGGCGCGCGAUACAGGGUGACAGCCCCGUACACAAAAAUGCACAUGCUGUGAGCUCGAUGAGUAGGGCGGGACACGUGGUAUCCUGUCUGAAUAUGGGGGGACCAUCCUCCAAGGCUAAAUACUCCUGACUGACCGAUAGUGAACCAGUACCGUGAGGGAAAGGCGAAAAGAACCCCGGCGAGGGGAGUGAAAAAGAACCUGAAACCGUGUACGUACAAGCAGUGGGAGCACAGAGCAAUCUGUGUGACUGCGUACCUUUUGUAUAAUGGGUCAGCGACUUAUAUUCUGUAGCAAGGUUAACCGAAUAGGGGAGCCGAAGGGAAACCGAGUCUUAACUGGGCGUUAAGUUGCAGGGUAUAGACCCGAAACCCGGUGAUCUAGCCAUGGGCAGGUUGAAGGUUGGGUAACACUAACUGGAGGACCGAACCGACUAAUGUUGAAAAAUUAGCGGAUGACUUGUGGCUGGGGGUGAAAGGCCAAUCAAACCGGGAGAUAGCUGGUUCUCCCCGAAAGCUAUUUAGGUAGCGCCUCGUGAAUUCAUCUCCGGGGGUAGAGCACUGUUUCGGCAAGGGGGUCAUCCCGACUUACCAACCCGAUGCAAACUGCGAAUACCGGAGAAUGUUAUCACGGGAGACACACGGCGGGUGCUAACGUCCGUCGUGAAGAGGGAAACAACCCAGACCGCCAGCUAAGGUCCCAAAGUCAUGGUUAAGUGGGAAACGAUGUGGGAAGGCCCAGACAGCCAGGAUGUUGGCUUAGAAGCAGCCAUCAUUUAAAGAAAGCGUAAUAGCUCACUGGUCGAGUCGGCCUGCGCGGAAGAUGUAACGGGGCUAAACCAUGCACCGAAGCUGCGGCAGCGACGCUUAUGCGUUGUUGGGUAGGGGAGCGUUCUGUAAGCCUGCGAAGGUGUGCUGUGAGGCAUGCUGGAGGUAUCAGAAGUGCGAAUGCUGACAUAAGUAACGAUAAAGCGGGUGAAAAGCCCGCUCGCCGGAAGACCAAGGGUUCCUGUCCAACGUUAAUCGGGGCAGGGUGAGUCGACCCCUAAGGCGAGGCCGAAAGGCGUAGUCGAUGGGAAACAGGUUAAUAUUCCUGUACUUGGUGUUACUGCGAAGGGGGGACGGAGAAGGCUAUGUUGGCCGGGCGACGGUUGUCCCGGUUUAAGCGUGUAGGCUGGUUUUCCAGGCAAAUCCGGAAAAUCAAGGCUGAGGCGUGAUGACGAGGCACUACGGUGCUGAAGCAACAAAUGCCCUGCUUCCAGGAAAAGCCUCUAAGCAUCAGGUAACAUCAAAUCGUACCCCAAACCGACACAGGUGGUCAGGUAGAGAAUACCAAGGCGCUUGAGAGAACUCGGGUGAAGGAACUAGGCAAAAUGGUGCCGUAACUUCGGGAGAAGGCACGCUGAUAUGUAGGUGAAGCGACUUGCUCGUGGAGCUGAAAUCAGUCGAAGAUACCAGCUGGCUGCAACUGUUUAUUAAAAACACAGCACUGUGCAAACACGAAAGUGGACGUAUACGGUGUGACGCCUGCCCGGUGCCGGAAGGUUAAUUGAUGGGGUUAGCGCAAGCGAAGCUCUUGAUCGAAGCCCCGGUAAACGGCGGCCGUAACUAUAACGGUCCUAAGGUAGCGAAAUUCCUUGUCGGGUAAGUUCCGACCUGCACGAAUGGCGUAAUGAUGGCCAGGCUGUCUCCACCCGAGACUCAGUGAAAUUGAACUCGCUGUGAAGAUGCAGUGUACCCGCGGCAAGACGGAAAGACCCCGUGAACCUUUACUAUAGCUUGACACUGAACAUUGAGCCUUGAUGUGUAGGAUAGGUGGGAGGCUUGGAAGUGUGGACGCCAGUCUGCAUGGAGCCGACCUUGAAAUACCACCCUUUAAUGUUUGAUGUUCUAACGUUGACCCGUAAUCCGGGUUGCGGACAGUGUCUGGUGGGUAGUUUGACUGGGGCGGUCUCCUCCUAAAGAGUAACGGAGGAGCACGAAGGUUGGCUAAUCCUGGUCGGACAUCAGGAGGUUAGUGCAAUGGCAUAAGCCAGCUUGACUGCGAGCGUGACGGCGCGAGCAGGUGCGAAAGCAGGUCAUAGUGAUCCGGUGGUUCUGAAUGGAAGGGCCAUCGCUCAACGGAUAAAAGGUACUCCGGGGAUAACAGGCUGAUACCGCCCAAGAGUUCAUAUCGACGGCGGUGUUUGGCACCUCGAUGUCGGCUCAUCACAUCCUGGGGCUGAAGUAGGUCCCAAGGGUAUGGCUGUUCGCCAUUUAAAGUGGUACGCGAGCUGGGUUUAGAACGUCGUGAGACAGUUCGGUCCCUAUCUGCCGUGGGCGCUGGAGAACUGAGGGGGGCUGCUCCUAGUACGAGAGGACCGGAGUGGACGCAUCACUGGUGUUCGGGUUGUCAUGCCAAUGGCACUGCCCGGUAGCUAAAUGCGGAAGAGAUAAGUGCUGAAAGCAUCUAAGCACGAAACUUGCCCCGAGAUGAGUUCUCCCUGACUCCUUGAGAGUCCUGAAGGAACGUUGAAGACGACGACGUUGAUAGGCCGGGUGUGUAAGCGCAGCGAUGCGUUGAGCUAACCGGUACUAAUGAACCGUGAGGCUUAACCUUACAACGCCGAAG
This 2927-nucleotide ribosomal RNA is filed under the name Escherichia coli. RNAcentral's name for it is "23S ribosomal RNA". It matches the Rfam family "Bacterial large subunit ribosomal RNA". The record is from RNAcentral. Lineage: Bacteria; Pseudomonadati; Pseudomonadota; Gammaproteobacteria; Enterobacterales; Enterobacteriaceae.